AGAUAUAUCCUGCCCUAACAGAACAGGCAUGGGUGGAGGAUCCAGAUAACGAGGUAGUGAUCGUAGGGAGAAGGAGGGCUCCCCCUCCUUAUGAGGGACCUGGGGAAGACCGCGAAGAAGAGGGGUUCAGAAGGGACAUGGAAGGAUUGACCGGAGGUUUUAAACUAAAUACCGGGGAGCUGGAAAGAUCAGUUAGACAGAUAGUGGGAAAAGAUUGGACAGCCGUGAGGGGAGACUGGACCACAGGACAGGGGGACAGAGUGGUUCUGCAGUGGGCUGCAGAUGGGGAUUAUCAAGAGUCGUGGCUGAACGACGACGUUAUGAACAUACAACUGGCGGGUUAUAGACUAUCGGCAGG
Molecule: non-coding RNA, 358 nt
Organism: Salmo salar (Atlantic salmon)
Lineage: Eukaryota; Metazoa; Chordata; Actinopteri; Salmoniformes; Salmonidae
Source: RefSeq, a predicted model, not a curated record